Molecule: long non-coding RNA, 1572 nt
Filed under: Phascolarctos cinereus (koala)
Lineage: Eukaryota; Metazoa; Chordata; Mammalia; Diprotodontia; Phascolarctidae
Description: lncRNA (ENSPCIG00000034066.1)
Source: RNAcentral
CUCGCCCUGGACAUUUAACAAGGGGCUCUCGAGCUGGCUCCAGCACAGCCCUGCUCCGGAGGCGGGGCCGGAGGACUAGAGCGCUCCGGGAUUGGUGGGCUGUGAGAGGCACUGAGGCCUCUGAUUGGCCGAGGUAUCCUUGCGCGCGCUUGGGUGCGCUCUCUGGCCGCCAUUCGGUUCCGCAGCUGGUGAGCCAGACGUGCAGGGCUGGAGCGGGGUCGGGAGGGAAGGUGGGCAGCGUAAUAGGAGUCACGCACGGAGGCUGCGGCGGAAAAAGAGAGAGACGGAGCUGGAGGGUGGAGGGCCUGCACUCUCCAGGACCCUGCCCUGCCCGAGGACAGGAGCCCCGAGGAAGGAAUGGCUUCUGGGCAGCUGACAGCCAGGCUCCAGGUGAGUCGACUCUCCCUCUUCCAAAAUGCUUUCUUAUCUCCCUUCUCGUGAAUGGCCUUGGCCCGUCUCGGUCUGACCCACAGCCUUGGGACUCACUUAGUCUCCCCCAGCAUAUUCUGGCCAUUCUGAUGGAUGAUGGAGAGUCACAGGACUUUGGAGUCAUGACUGCCCUAGAUUUUUGAGCCCGUGCAUCAGCCCUGGGCUGGCAGGCUGUGGCCUGAGGGGCAGAGCUGUCUGCCACCUGUCUCUGCACAGCCCUCGCACCAAGAGCGGUCUGUGCUUAUUAAACACAAGUUCUUGUGGAGUGCAGACCCUGACGUCCAGCGUGUUAACUCUUCCUUCUGGGAUGGUUUUUGGGGGGCUCACUUUGGGAGAGCACAUGGAAGACCAGGGAAACUGUCCGUGUGGUACGAAAUCUCAUGCCAGAAGAGGCCCGGUGUCCGGAGGAUCCAGAGAAGCACUCAGUGGCCGCCUCCUCCUAUUCGGUCAGCGUUUGUUAAGCACCUACUCUGUGCCAGGCACUAUGCUAAGCACCGGGGACACUUAAUCAAAAGAAAGACAGCCCCUGCCUUCAGGGAGCUUACAGUCUGACGGGGUGGAUGGCUCACAGAAGGAGACAGGAAGGGUACCUCUCGUUCUGUGGAGUUGACACAGGCAGAACAGCGCAUGCAAGGUGGAUAGCCCACCCCUGGGAAGGAGAAGGAAUGCCCCUGAGCCUGCUGGGCCAGUUUGGAUUCAGCCUUGGCUUGAAGACCUUCCAUGGGGGCAAACAGAUCUUAUUACCUCCUCAUAGAAGGCUAAUGGUUAAGGAAGCUCUGCCAGGCCCAGGCCUACAUUUGCUCUGAGUUCUGUCCUUUGGGGGCCAAAGAGAACAGUCUGAUCCCUUGUCUUUCACACCCUUGGACAUGGCCGCCAUGCCCCGAAGUCUUCUCCUCACCGGGCGACUCAUCUUCACUACUCGGUGCGUCCCUCUACGACAUGAAUUGAAGGCCCUCCAGCAUCCUGGUGCCCUCCUCGGGACCCUCUCAGGGUUAUCAGUGACCUUCCUAAACUCCGACCCCGAGGGCUAGACACAAUGCUCCCCUUGGGGUAGGGGCGCUAGAGUAGCACUUGUCUCAGGGUUGUUGCAAAGUAGCCACAGGCCCCGGCCAGUCUGGACGAGGCAGCUGGCAUUGGGUCCUC